RNAcentral lists this ribosomal RNA (492 nucleotides) under uncultured bacterium. RNAcentral describes it as "partial 16S ribosomal RNA". It matches the Rfam family "Bacterial small subunit ribosomal RNA", at positions 29 to 507 of the family's 1533-position model. The record is from RNAcentral.
AGUGAACGCUGGCGGUAGGCCUAACACAUGCAAGUCGAACGGCAGCACAGUAAGAGCUUGCUCUUACGGGUGGCGAGUGGCGGACGGGUGAGGAAUACAUCGGAAUCUACUUUUUCGUGGGGGAUAACGUAGGGAAACUUACGCUAAUACCGCAUACGACCUACGGGUGAAAGCAGGGGAUCUUCGUACCUUGCGCGAUUGAAUGAGCCGAUGUCGGAUUAGCUAGUUGGCGGGGUAAAGGCCCACCAAGGCGACGAUCCGUAGCUGGUCUGAGAGGAUGAUCAGCCACACUGGAACUGAGACACGGUCCAGACUCCUACGGGAGGCAGCAGUGGGGAAUAUUGGACAAUGGGCGCAAGCAUGAUCCAGCCAUACCGCGUGGGUGAAGAAGGCCUUCGGGUUGUAAAGACCUUUUGUUGGGAAAGAAAAGCAGCAGGUUAAUACCACGCUGUUCUGACGGUACCCAAAGAAUAAGCACCGGCUAACUUCGUG